This 106-nucleotide small nucleolar RNA is filed under the name Eutrema salsugineum. RNAcentral describes it as "Plant small nucleolar RNA R71". It matches the Rfam family "Plant small nucleolar RNA R71". From Rfam's summary of the family: R71 is a member of the C/D box family of snoRNAs containing the C (UGAUGA) and D (CUGA) box motifs. Multiple nearly identical copies of this snoRNA have been identified in Arabidopsis, and it is thought to function as a 2'-O-ribose methylation guide for 18S ribosomal RNA. The record is from Rfam by way of RNAcentral. Lineage: Eukaryota; Viridiplantae; Streptophyta; Magnoliopsida; Brassicales; Brassicaceae.
AAUCCAUGGUGGGGCAAUCACGUUCAUACUCCUUAAAACGCUCCCAGGCUUCAUAGAAAGAUUCAGUUGUCCUUUAUUGAAAGGUUGAGAUCUUUGUUCUCAAAUU